RNAcentral lists this ribosomal RNA (113 nucleotides) under Streptococcus pneumoniae. Lineage: Bacteria; Bacillati; Bacillota; Bacilli; Lactobacillales; Streptococcaceae. The record is from RNAcentral.
UAACAACUCAGGUCCGUUGGUCAAGUGUACCCAUGCCGAACACAGAAGUUAAGCCCUAGAACGCCGGAAGUAGUUGGGGGUUGCCCCCUGUGAGAUAGGGAAGUCGCUUAGCU